RNAcentral lists this ribosomal RNA (256 nucleotides) under uncultured bacterium. RNAcentral's name for it is "partial 16S ribosomal RNA". It matches the Rfam family "Bacterial small subunit ribosomal RNA", at positions 524 to 776 of the family's 1533-position model. The record is from RNAcentral.
UACGUAGGGGGCAAGCGUUGUCCGGAUUUAUUGGGCGUAAAGAGCGUGUAGGCGGCCUGAAAGGUCAGCUGUGAAAACUCGAGGCUCAACCUCGAGACGUCGGUUGAAACCAUCUGGCUAGAGUCCGGAAGAGGAGUGUGGAAUUCCCGGUGUAGCGGUGAAAUGCGCAGAUAUCGGGGAAGAACACCCGGUGGCGAAGGCGGCACUCUGGGACGGUACUGACGCGUGAGACGCGAAAGCGUGGGGAGCGAACAGG